GGCUCGGCUCAUCACUGAAGAGCUCUGAGGUCCAGAAAUCCCCUUUUAUCGGUGGCAGCAGCUCAGCCCUGCUCUGAGGGCCAUCUUCUGAUGCCUUCCAAGUAUCAUAUAGUAUUUUCAACAGGAGAAGAAGAGAAAAAAAGAGUGUAGUUGUAUAGAUAAUAGAAAAUAGUCUAGUAGAUCAUCAGCUACACGAAGCCCUGAGAGAUACUUAUUAGAAAGCACUGAAUGGAAAAACUCCCCAGCAAGGGGAAGAAUGGACAGUCCUAAGAUAUGCUUCCUGGUAUUUAUCCAUAGAAGACAGGUGUGGAACUCAGCCCUCUUAGUGCUUCUGAAGACUGAAAUUCUUGAUCUUGCUCCUAUGUGAUGAGAGAGAGAAACAGGAUGAUACUGCAGU
This is a long non-coding RNA of Nothoprocta perdicaria, 397 nucleotides long. RefSeq lists it as uncharacterized. The transcript has 3 exons. The record is from RefSeq and is a predicted model, not a curated record. Lineage: Eukaryota; Metazoa; Chordata; Aves; Tinamiformes; Tinamidae.